UGAAAGAGCUUGCUCUUUUAUUAAUUUCAGUGGCAAACGGGUGAGUAACACGUAAACAACCUGCCUUAAGGAUGGGGAUAACAGACGGAAACGACUGCUAAUACCGAAUACGUUCUAAGCAUCGCAUGGUGCAUAGAAGAAAGGGUGGCCUCUACAAGAAAGCUAUCGCCUUAAGAGGGGUUUGCGACUGAUUAGGUAGUUGGUGAGGUAACGGCUCACCAAGCCGACGAUCAGUAGCCGGUCUGAGAGGAUGAACGGCCACACUGGAACUGAGACACGGUCCAGACUCCUACGGGAGGCAGCAGUGGGGAAUCUUCCGCAAUGGACGAAAGUCUGACGGAGCAACGCCGCGUGAACGAAGAAGGUCUUCGGAUUGUAAAGUUCUGUGAUUCGGGACGAAAGGGUAAAUAGUGAAUAACUAUAGACAUUGACGGUACCGAAAAAGCAAGCCACGGCUAACUACGUGCCAGCAGCCGCGGUAAUACGUAGGUGGCAAGCGUUGUCCGGAAUUAUUGGGCGUAAAGCGCGCGCAGGCGGCUUCUUAAGUCCAUCUUAAAAGCGUGGGGCUCAACCCCACGAGGGGAUGGAAACUGG
This 594-nucleotide ribosomal RNA is filed under the name uncultured Peptococcaceae bacterium. Its description in RNAcentral is "bacterial SSU rRNA". It matches the Rfam family "Bacterial small subunit ribosomal RNA", at positions 71 to 636 of the family's 1533-position model. Lineage: Bacteria; Bacillati; Bacillota; Clostridia; Eubacteriales; Peptococcaceae. The record is from RNAcentral.